This 468-nucleotide ribosomal RNA is filed under the name uncultured bacterium. RNAcentral's name for it is "partial 16S ribosomal RNA". It matches the Rfam family "Bacterial small subunit ribosomal RNA", at positions 28 to 507 of the family's 1533-position model. The record is from RNAcentral.
GACGAACGCUGGCGGCGUGCUUAACACGUGCAAGUCGAACGGAAAGGCCCUGCUUUUGUGGGGUGCUCGAGUGGCGAACGGGUGAGUAACACGUGAGUAACCUGCCCUUGACUUUGGGAUAACUUCAGGAAACUGGGGCUAAUACCGGAUAGGAGCUCCUGCUGCAUGGUGGGGGUUGGAAAGUUUCGGCGGUUGGGGAUGGACUCGCGGCUUAUCAGCUUGUUGGUGGGGUAGUGGCUUACCAAGGCUUUGACGGGUAGCCGGCCUGAGAGGGUGACCGGCCACAUUGGGACUGAGAUACGGCCCAGACUCCUACGGGAGGCAGCAGUGGGGAAUAUUGCACAAUGGGCGGAAGCCUGAUGCAGCAACGCCGCGCGCGGGAUGACGGCCUUCGGGUUGUAAACCGCUUUCGCCUGUGACGAAGCGUGAGUGACGGUAAUGGGUAAAGAAGCACCGGCUAACUACGUG